ACAUGAGUCAAUAAUUACUACUACUAAUAGGUAUGAUAUGAGAUUCUUCCUGAUGCUGAGUAGCUGUACAGCUCGUCCGACCUUUAUAGGUAGUCCACUCAAAGCCCUGAUUGGAUCAUCCUUCUCAGGAGUGCUAGAUCGCAUAGAAGGCACUGGAUGGCUGGAAUAAGCUCCUUUCUUUGGAUCAUUCAGACUCUUUUGGAUCAGA
Molecule: long non-coding RNA, 208 nt
Filed under: Elaeis guineensis (African oil palm)
Lineage: Eukaryota; Viridiplantae; Streptophyta; Magnoliopsida; Arecales; Arecaceae
Description: long non-coding RNA (EGUI_LNC076205)
Source: RNAcentral